This 253-nucleotide ribosomal RNA is filed under the name uncultured bacterium. RNAcentral's name for it is "partial 16S ribosomal RNA". It matches the Rfam family "Bacterial small subunit ribosomal RNA", at positions 524 to 776 of the family's 1533-position model. The record is from RNAcentral.
UACGUAGGGGGCAAGCGUUAUCCGGAUUUAUUGGGUGUAAAGGGCGUGUAGGCGGGAAAGCAAGUCAGAUGUGAAAACUCAGGGCUCAACCCUGAGCCUGCAUUUGAAACUGUUUUUCUUGAGUGCUGGAGAGGCAAUCGGAAUUCCGUGUGUAGCGGUGAAAUGCAUAGAUAUCACGCAGAACUCCGAUUGCGAAGGCAGCUUACCAGUCUGCGACUGACGCUCAGGCACGAAAGUGUGGGUAUCGAACAGG